UACGUAGGGUGCGAGCGUUAAUCGGAAUUACUGGGCGUAAAGCGUGCGCAGGCGGUUCGUUGUGUCUGAUGUGAAAGCCCCGGGCUUAACCUGGGAAUGGCAUUGGAAACUGGCGAGCUGGGGUGUGGCAGAGGGGGGUGGAAUUCCGCGUGUAGCAGUGAAAUGCGUAGAGAUGCGGAGGAACACCGAUGGCGAAGGCAGCCCCCUGGGCCAACACUGACGCUCAGGCACGAAAGCGUGGGGAGCAAACAGG
This 253-nucleotide ribosomal RNA is filed under the name uncultured bacterium. RNAcentral's name for it is "partial 16S ribosomal RNA". It matches the Rfam family "Bacterial small subunit ribosomal RNA", at positions 524 to 776 of the family's 1533-position model. The record is from RNAcentral.